CACCCGGGACACCGGGACAGCCGGGACACCCGAGACACCGUGACACUGGGACACAGGGGACAGCCAGGACAGCCGGGACAGCGGGACACCCGGGACACCAGGACACCGGGACACCCGGGACACCGGAACACCGUGACAGCCGGGACAGCCAGGACAGCAGGAACACCCGGGACACCGGGACAGCCAGAACACCGCUUCCUCCCGGCCUCGGGCAGCCUCAGGGCCACCCGGACGCCGUACGGACUCACGCACGGUUCGGGGAGUUGGUUGUGUUUCGUGGAAGCUGAGUGCUUUGCAACCACGUGCUGCAACGCUUUCUAUAAACUUCCAGCUUUCCUGUCUCAGCAUUCCCAAGAGUGAAAAUCAAGGCAACCUCUUACUUUUAAAUCUUUUCACGGUCGGGGGUACGGAGAUGUUUUCGCACUAUUAGGCACUCAACAAGAAAGAAACUCCCAUCUGUAUACUAGUUUCAGAAAUGGCAAACCUGGAAUUUCAGCAUUCAGCAGCAUAUGUUUUGCUACUGGAUGUGGAAAACACUGACAGUAUAAUUGAUGACUCUGUAGUAUUUACUAGCUAAUCUCAU
This is a long non-coding RNA of Catharus ustulatus (Swainson's thrush), 583 nucleotides long. RefSeq lists it as uncharacterized. The transcript has 3 exons. NCBI's taxonomy places the organism in Eukaryota, Metazoa, Chordata, Aves, Passeriformes, Turdidae. The record is from RefSeq and is a predicted model, not a curated record.